This 254-nucleotide ribosomal RNA is filed under the name uncultured bacterium. Its description in RNAcentral is "partial 16S ribosomal RNA". It matches the Rfam family "Bacterial small subunit ribosomal RNA", at positions 524 to 776 of the family's 1533-position model. The record is from RNAcentral.
UACGUAGGGGGCAAGCGUUGUUCGGAUUCACUGGGCGUAAAGGGUGUGUAGGUGGUCUGAGCAAGUCGAAUGUGAAAUCUCAUGGCUCAACCAUGAAAGGGCAUUCGAAACUGCUUGACUAGGGUUCGGGAAAGGAGAGUGGAAUUCUCGGUGUAGCGGUGAAAUGCGUAGAUAUCGAGAAGAACACCAGUAGCGAAAGCGGCUCUCUAGACCGAAACCGACACUGAGACACGAAAGCGUGGGGAGCGAACGGG